AUGUAUCGUGCAUACAAAUCAGUGCAUCCUUAUUACGAAAAAUCUAAGUCCAUACCACAAGAUAAACUCGAUGCAGGAAAUAAAAUAGCGAAAAUGUUAGAAGAAGCAGAUAUGAAUAAGGAUGGUCGUUUAACAAGGGAUGAGAUCGAGAAGGCUCUAAAAAGUUUAGGUUCAUACUUCCCUGCAUGGAGAGCACAACGUUGUCUCAAGAAACUUGAUGCCAACAAUGAUGGCCAAAUUAGUGGUAACGAAAUUGACUAUUUGGUUGAUUAUCUUCUUAGUCAUGGUUUUGGAAAGAAAUAA
Non-coding RNA from Vicia faba (fava bean), 303 nucleotides. The record is from the annotation of a GenBank genome assembly. Lineage: Eukaryota; Viridiplantae; Streptophyta; Magnoliopsida; Fabales; Fabaceae.